CCGGCUUUCAUAAAAAAGAAUAAUUUUAAAAUGCAUUGUUUUUGUCUAAACAUCGAUCGAAAUGUUUUGAUGCCAAAAAUCAUUUGAAAACUUUUAAUUCCGUUAUUUAAAUACAUUCCAAUGUGGAUAUAAGGGCCUUCACUCGUUCAGCAUGCUCAAGUGGAUCAAACUGACAGCAGAAAAACAUUGACCCAACGUCAAUUCUUCUUCAGUCUUCUUCCAAUAAUUUACAUCAUACCACCUCUGGUGUAUUAUCGCAAAUUCGUAUAAUAUAGCAUCCAUAUUAAAAGCAACCAGCCUACGGUCAGCAUCUACUUCUUG
Molecule: long non-coding RNA, 321 nt
Filed under: Mytilus galloprovincialis (Mediterranean mussel)
Lineage: Eukaryota; Metazoa; Mollusca; Bivalvia; Mytilida; Mytilidae
Source: RNAcentral